UACGUAGGGGGCAAGCGUUAUCCGGAUUUACUGGGUGUAAAGGGAGCGUAGACGGCCAGACAAGUCUGAAGUGAAAAUCCAGCGCUUAACGUUGGAAGUGCUUUGGAAACUGCCGGGCUGGAGCGCAGGAGGGGCAGGCGGAACUCCUAGUGUAGCGGUGAAAUGCGUAGAUAUUAGGAGGAACACCAGUGGCGAAGGCGGCCUGCUGGACUGCAACUGACGUUGAGGCUCGAAGGCGUGGGGAGCAAACAGG
RNAcentral lists this ribosomal RNA (253 nucleotides) under uncultured bacterium. RNAcentral's name for it is "partial 16S ribosomal RNA". It matches the Rfam family "Bacterial small subunit ribosomal RNA", at positions 524 to 776 of the family's 1533-position model. The record is from RNAcentral.